Molecule: ribosomal RNA, 258 nt
Filed under: uncultured bacterium
Lineage: Bacteria
Description: partial 16S ribosomal RNA
Rfam family: Bacterial small subunit ribosomal RNA
Source: RNAcentral
UGGCGGACGGGUGAGUAACGCGUGAGGAACCUGCCUCAGAGUGGGGGAUAACACACCGAAAGGUGUGCUAAUACCGCAUAACAUAUGGGAGGGGCAUCCCUUUCAUAUCAAAGAUUUAUUGCUCUGAGAUGGCCUCGCGUCCAAUUAGCUAGUUGGCGGGGUAACGGCCCACCAAGGCGACGAUUGGUAGCCGGACUGAGAGGUUGAACGGCCACAUUGGGACUGAGACACGGCCCAGACUCCUACGGAAGGCAGCAG